CCUACGGGUGGCUGCAGUGAGGAAUAUUGGUCAAUGGCCGAGAGGCUGAACCAGCCAAGUCGCGUGAGGGAAGACGGCCCUACGGUUUGUAAACCUCUUUUGUCGUGGAGCCAAGAGAGUCACGUGUGACUCAUUGAGAGUCCCCGAAGAAAAAGCAUCGGCUAACUCCGUGCAAGCAGCCGCGGUAAUACGGAGGAUGCGAGCGUUAUCCGGAUUUAGUGGGUUAAAAGGGUGCGCGGGGGGAUGUGCAAGUCAGCGGUAAAAUUGCGGGGCUCAACCCCGUACUGCCGUUGAAACUGCAUACGGUGAGUGAGCGAGAAGUAGGCGGAAUGCGUGGUGUAGCGGUGAAAUGCAUAGAGAGCACGCAGAACUCCGAUUGCGAAGGCAGCAUACCGGCGCGCAACUGACGCUCAUGCACGAAAGCGUGGGUAUCGAACAGGAUUAGAUACCCUAGUAGUC
Molecule: ribosomal RNA, 459 nt
Filed under: uncultured bacterium
Lineage: Bacteria
Description: partial 16S ribosomal RNA
Rfam family: Bacterial small subunit ribosomal RNA
Source: RNAcentral